GCUCUACUACUGAGCCCCAACUUGAGUGGGAUCUUGCAGGGAGGUUUGGAUCCCCUGCACUCGGGUCUGGUGCAGGCUACUGAAGGCUGUUGAGCCUCUCCCCGCCCCACCCGCAUAGGCAGCCUCGCCUCACCUGGUUCUCCCAGCCUCAGCAGCCGCAGCCGCAGCUGAAGCUGGAGGGAGAGGUUUAAUUGGCAGGCUUUUGGGUUAAGGAGAAAUACUGCUUUGCUGGGGUGGGGACUAGUGGAUGGAGGGGGAAGGGGGUUGGAAAAAUACUGAGAGAACCGGCAAAUACAGCCAGGCAACAACAGGAUAUGGAGGCCGCAGAGACACAGGAGGAAGGGAGAGGGGCCUUGCCAGGCUGGCUUGUGCCACUGCCUAGCAGAGGCCCUCAUCCCCCCCUCCAUGCUGGGGACCACCCAGCCUCCCUGCAUCUGCACAGGGCUUAUCUGGGACAUUUAUUCAUUUAAUUUUAUUACUGUACUGUGGGUACAGUGCCUGCCAACUCUAACGCCUUGUCAGUGUUACCCCGAAAGUCCCCUCUCUAGGCUGGGAGUUACAGCAUAAUGAAACCCAGAGAACUCUGCCCUGUCCCUCACUUAGUAAUGACUGAUCUGAAGGCCUCUGAACAAGGGUCUCCUGGGACCACCAUGCCUCAGCUGGGCCAAGCACAGACAACCCUGGUGAGGACCAGAUGCCCCCAUGCUAGAUCCUAGCUCCUGGAAACUGGCGCCUUUGGCCCAAGAGAAGAUUCCUGACUCUGGGAGAGGUGACACAACCUCAGAGGGAGCUGGGGGAAAUCCUUGCCACCCCUUUGUCUUUGAAUGUUCUGGAUAGAGGACGACAAUGCUGAGCUCAUGGCCUGAGAGUUGGAGGGAACCCUUGGGAGUCGUCCGGUUCUCCGCCAUCUUGUAACAAAUGGGGAAACUGAGGCCCACGGAGGGGAAGGGUCUUGCCUACGGGCAAACAAUUGGAGCACCUGAAAUAAUUUGGGCCCUCACUGAAUGAUGGCAGGGAGGCAGGAAUGGCGUCUCUUCAUCUUAUUGCAGUUUGGGGGAUCUGGGGGUGGGCAUGUGUGUGCUUAUCUCCCGUCUGUGCCAGUGUCUCUCCAGCUCACUCCUUCCCACCCCCCCAGCCCCAGCCCAAGUGGCUAGCUUGUGUGAUGACCCUUCUGAAAUGUCCUUUCUGGCCCUCACCUUUACCUGCAUGCACUCACAUUUCAUGGUGGCUCACCUUUAGACCCCAUGAAGGCAUUUUUUGGGGGCACCUGAGUGACCUUGGUCCAGGCCCCAUCCUCCCUGGGCCUCAGCAUCUCCAGCUGUAAGGUGGAGGUGGGGUGGGCAUUUGCAGGUUUCUAAGCAUCCUUUCCAGCUCUGACAUCUAGGGACUGCCCACAGCUGAUUCGUGGGUCCUCUAGGCCAGGGCCCAUCUGCUGCUUCCUCUGCUUGGGGCAGCAGUGGGAGCAGUACUGGGCCCCAGUGAGCAGCCGAAAGACAGGAAGAUUUGUCACCGAUUCUCCUCAUGUGUCCUAAGCAUCCUAGUCUCCAGCUGCCUUCCUGGGGAGGGACAGGAAGAGUUGGGCUAUAUUUGUCUUCUUGGGAUGGGGUGGGGAGGGGGGACUUGGGCAAGGGGAGAGCGAUCCUGCAGGCCCAGCAGCUGAGCAGGGAAGAGAAGUUCUUUCUUUAACUCAGGCAAAAAAUGAAAAGCUCAGUCCUUGAAGCUCCCCUUCCCUUCCCUCCUUGGCCCCAUUAGCCUCUGCUGGGAGUACCCAGCACACAGUAGGUGUGGAGUGAUUCACAGACAGAGUGAAUGAAUGGAGAAUGCCUUGAAGUAAAGGGACCUGGGUUUGAGUCCUCCCCCACCAGUUUCUAGCUGGUGACCUUGGGCAGAUUGCUUGAUGUCUUUGAACUUCGGGUUCCCCAUCUGUCCCACCCAAAUGAUAACUUCAAGAGAUGUGAGGAGGAAAUGAGAGGAAUCAAUGCAAAGGCCUUAGAAUCGGGUCUGACAUUUAGGACUCCUCCAACGGUAACUUCUGGUUAUUUUUACUAAAGAUAGAAUGGCUGGGUCAGCCUCUAACGGUGCACUCGGGCAUACAUUUCCUGAGCAUCUAAGGUGUUCCAGGCACUGCAGAUGGCCUAGAGAAGAGGGAGGCUCCGUCUCUGCUCUCUGGCCUCUCAUAAUCUGAUGGAGGAGACUCAUGGCCACAUAGCCCUGAAAUAGCACUGAAUGGCCUCCUGGUAGCCAUUAUGGAGAGUGCAAAGGGGCCACGGGAGCCGAGUCUGGACAGGACCAAUCUGCUCUGCAGCGGCAGGUCAGGGGAGGCUUCCUGAAAGAGGUGGGCUGUAACUGUACUUGGAAGGACGCGGGAGUUUGCCCCUGGGGAAUGCCCCUUCUAGGGAAAGAAAGGUGCAGAGGCUUGAACUGCUUGUCUGGGGGACACUGAGAAUCUAGUCUGUGCUCCUGUGUCACCUUGUCAGGAGGUGCUCUCUCCUAGCCCUGGAUUAACAGCACCCUGUCCACUCUCACUCCCUCUCCCUAACACUGCUUCAGUUUUUCCGCCUGUCAUCUUGGCCUGGUGUUGGCCCUAAGUUCAUGUUUCUCUCUCUACUAGAACAUCAGCCCCACGAGGGCAGUGUAGUGGGGCCAAUCUUGUUCCCCCCGAGCAAAUACUUUGCAAUUCUAGCCCCCAGGACCUCUGAAGAUGACCUUAUUUGGAGAUGGGUUGUUUAAAGAGGUAAUAAGCCAAAAUAAGGCCAUCCGGGUAGCCCUAACUAAAUAGGACUGAUGUCCUUAUAAAAAAGGGGAGACUUGGAGACGGGCAUGAACAUGGGGAAGAGGCCACAUGAAGACCAGAGACCUGCUGCCACAAGCCGAGGAGCUGCCAGAGGCUGGGAGAGAGGCCUGGCACAGAUGCCCCUCUCACAGCCUUCAGAAGGAACCUGGCAACACCUUGAUCUUGAACUUGGGGCCUCUGGAACUGUGAGACAAUAAAUGCCUACCGUUUAUAA
Molecule: non-coding RNA, 3008 nt
Organism: Ictidomys tridecemlineatus (thirteen-lined ground squirrel)
Lineage: Eukaryota; Metazoa; Chordata; Mammalia; Rodentia; Sciuridae
Source: RefSeq, a predicted model, not a curated record